CGAUAGAGGGGGAGAACAAAAAUGGAAGAAACAGCUGAGAUCGAAAGGCUGAGGCCUAUUAGACGUUAUUUCUGUGAUUAUUGUGGAAUUUGCAGAUCUAAGAAGUCUCUUAUCGCUUCUCACAUUCAAACCAACCACAAGGAAGAGUUGGAAAAGGAAAAAGCUCAUGGAGACGAAGAAAUUGAGGGAGUGAAGUCUAAUACUUGCCGAGAAUGUGGUGCUAGUUUCAAAAAGCCUGCGUAUCUGAAACAACAUAUGCAAAGUCAUUCCCUUGUGAGGCCAUAUGUGUGUUCGGUUGAUGAUUGCAAUGCCAGCUACAGAAGGAAGGACCACUUGACUCGCCACCUUCUUAUGCAUGAGGGAAAACUCUUCAAGUGUCCUAUUGAGAAUUGCAACUGUGAAUUUGUUCUCUAACAUGCCUUUUAACAUUGCCUCUCCAUAGUGAGAAUUCUCCCCCCGCUAAUGUUGGUCAGAAGCAGUAUGUUUGCCAGGAAACUGGUUGUGGGAAGGUUUUUAAAUAUCCUUCAAGGUUGCAAAAACACAAGGAUUCGCAUGUUGAAUUGGAAUCUGUGGAGGCAUUCUGUGCAGAACUAGGCUGUAUGAAACAUUUUUCCAAUGCUCAAUGCCUUAAGGCCCACAUCCAUUCAUGCCACAGAUACCUGACUUGUGAGAUAUGUGGAACAAAACAGCUGAAAAAGAAUUUAAAGAGGCAUCUCCGCGCCCAUGAAGCAGGUGAUCAGCCAGUGGAGAGAAUAAAAUGCCAUUUUGAGGAUUGUUGCCACACAUUUUCUAGUAAAACAAAUCUUAAUCUGCAUAUUAAGGCUGUGCACCUUGAAGACAGACCUUUCGCCUGUGGAUUUCUAGGUUGUGAUAUGAGAUUUGCAUUCAAGCAUGUCAGAGAUAACCAUGAGAAAUCUGGAUGCCAUGUCUAUACUCCUGGUGAUUUUGAAGAGUCUGAUGAGCAAUUCAGGUCGAGGCCACGAGGUGGAAGGAAGAGGAAAUGCCCAACUGUAGAAAUGCUUGUUCGUAAGAGGGUUACUCCGCCAACUGAUUUGGAUGAGUGCCAUGCUUGGUUUCAGUCAGUGGAGAGUCAUGAGCAGUCGUGAGUCAUACUCUUUCAGAUUCAGUGAGUCCAUUAUCUAGAAUUUAUCUCUGUAUAUGAAGUGUAUAGUUGGCUAGUUCUGGUAUAUUUUGCAUUUUGUUACUCUUUGAAAUAGAGGCUAUGGCCCGUUGAACUCUAUGUUCUCU
This 1248-nucleotide unclassified non-coding RNA is filed under the name Hevea brasiliensis (rubber tree). The record is from RNAcentral. Lineage: Eukaryota; Viridiplantae; Streptophyta; Magnoliopsida; Malpighiales; Euphorbiaceae.